CCCACUCACAUGGCUGCUGCAAGGGCAGAGAGGGGAAGGAAGGAAAACGAUGGGUUUAACAAUGGCAGCUUGAGGGGGAGCCUUGUGGAAGCAUGGACAAUGGGAAGCAUGUUUGUGGAGGAACGCAAAACGCACUUGCACGGCUUUCGAGGCGUGUUGGGGGCGGUAAACAAGAGAAUAGAUAUGGGACCGUGCUGUACUGCUGUGUGUGUGUGCAGUGCAGUGCAGUGCAGGAGGAGAGGAAGGAGAGCGCUGAGCAGAAGCCAGCACCAGCAAGGCAGCAAUGCAAAGCAUGCUACUGAAGAGCGC
Molecule: unclassified non-coding RNA, 309 nt
Filed under: Zea mays
Lineage: Eukaryota; Viridiplantae; Streptophyta; Magnoliopsida; Poales; Poaceae
Description: misc RNA Zm00001eb343150
Source: RNAcentral